AGCGAACGUUUGCGGCGGGCUUAACACAUGCAAGUCGAACGGGCUGUUCCUUCGGGGGCAGUCAGUGGCGCACGGGUGCGUAACACGUAGGUAAUCAACCCUCUGGUUGGGGAUAACACUUCGAAAGGAGUGCUAAUACCCGGUAUGGCGCAGCGGUCUUCGGAUCGCGGCGAGAAAGACCCGCAAGGGUUGCCAGAGGACGAGCCUGCGGCCCAUCAGCUAGUUGGCGAGGUAACGGCUCACCAAGGUGAAGACGGGUAGUUGGUCUGAGAGGAUGAUCAGCCACACUGGAACUGAGACACGGUCCAGACUCCUACGGGAGGCAGCAGUGGGGAAUAUUGCGCAAUGGGCGAAAGCCUGACGCAGCCACGCCGCGUGAGCGAUGAAGGCCUUC
This 394-nucleotide ribosomal RNA is filed under the name uncultured bacterium. RNAcentral's name for it is "bacterial SSU rRNA". It matches the Rfam family "Bacterial small subunit ribosomal RNA", at positions 29 to 419 of the family's 1533-position model. The record is from RNAcentral.